Molecule: RNA transcript, 2239 nt
Organism: Triticum aestivum (bread wheat)
Lineage: Eukaryota; Viridiplantae; Streptophyta; Magnoliopsida; Poales; Poaceae
Exons: 3
Source: RefSeq, a predicted model, not a curated record
CGCCGCCACUGCAUCCCCUAUCCACCCCGCCGCCCCAUCUCUGUCCAGGACGCCCCACCCAUGCCGUCCGCCAUCACCAUCGCCGCCGCAUCCGCAUCCGCAUCCGCAUCCCCAACCAGCGCCGCCGCCCGAUUCCCCAUCCACACCGCAGCUCCACCCGGUUCACCACCCACGCCGUCGCACCUGCACUGCAUCCUUCACACACUCCGCCGCCGCCACCAUCCCCGUCCACGACGCCUCACCCGCACCGUCUACUUACUCGCCCCCUACUUCCCCUCGCACAACAGCAGCAGCAGAGUGACGUCUCCACUCUUCUGCCAACUACCCGUACGUCCACUUGAAGCAACAGCAAUAACCACGGAGUAUGACAACAGGGGUGUUUGAGAUAUGUGCUCGGCCAGGGAAUCAUUCCAGAACGUACCAGUUAGAAGGAAUACAAAUACUACAAGGAAGUCCAGUGGCAUCACGGUUUCUAUUUAUUUUUAUGGCCUGUAUGAUGCUUCGGUUCAUAAAUAUAAAGAUCUUAUUAUGCUUGACUAUAUGCAUCUGCUUGCUGCAGGAUAUGGUAUUUAAAUAAAAAAUAGUAUAGGACGGGCUGUUGUUGGUGAAAACAUGGAUGUUUGGAAGAUAUGUGCCUAGCGGUAAAUACUUGUUUGUUUCAUUGUCAUAUCUAAUUAACAUAUUAAUGCUCAGCUGCUUGGCAUAUGUACUUCCGGUUAUAUUUUAGCAUGGCUGCAACAAGAACAACCUCGCUGAUUAAGUUGAUCAACAAGAACAAGCCUAACAUAUGACGCUGGCUGUUAUUCUUCUAAUCUUUAUCUUUCAUAUCCGUCCUUGUGUUGAUCAAUUCCUAUGUGCUAAUUAGUGUUAGUUCAAAUUCAUUACCUAGAGAUAUCAGGAAUCAUUCCAAUCAGGCCCUUUGUGGUGUUCUGUUGGGUGUAUGAAUUGAAGCUAAAGAGGAAGUUGCAGUUAAUGGUCCUCCAUCUUGCUGUGAUUUCAACAUUAUUUCUGUUUUAUUUUCACUCUCAUUUUUCUGCAGUAACGUUAGUCAUGAGACAAGUGGCACCAUUAAGUCAGAGGGAACUUGCUCUGCUUUGCAGUAACUUACAGAAUUCAUGUUUUACUGUCUUUGCAUUAAUCUAUGCAUGUCCUGAAUGUGCUUGGUUGUUAACUAUCUAGUUAAUUGAUGGGACGAAGAUAGUGGCAGGUACUGGGCUUGGUUCUCAAUGUUUUACCUGCUUUACCUGCCACUAUCUUUGCCGGCAGUUGAUUGCCCUAAUAUUUUUUCGUGGUGUAGUGCUAGGCCGCGUACACAACGUGCAGGAGUGCAAGGGGUGCAGGAGUGCAAGGGGCGAUGGCCAAAGACCCCUGAGCACUUAGGAUGUAGACCAGCAUGCUGGCCUCUCUGUUGAGUCUAGGUAGGACUACGGUGUGUCGACCAGUUGAGGCCGGGCAUGACUUGGAAAAGUGAGCCCGACCAAAGUUAAUCGAGCGUUUUGUGUAAGUUUGUGCACCCCUGUAGGGCAAUUUGUCUAUUCGAAUAUCCAUGUCGACGGUAACAGACGCUCUUAGUUGUAUCCUGGUCUAUUACAUCUAGAACUGGAUACCGGAGAUUCUAAAUGGAUAUGAUGGCUUUCCGGGAUUACUUUCUCGCAGGGAGUCGAGAAAGGAUCAUUGGGCGUUACUACAAUAUACUUGUUACCGCUAAUUUGCACUUUACUAAGAAAGAUGGUAGUCUUCGAUAGGCUAGACCUUCCCUUCUAUUCUGGCAUUUCUGCAGUUUAGCCCAAAGAUAUAGUCUCAUUCCUUUGAUACCGAUGCAUACUUAGUAUAGAUUUGAUGUAAGUUUUCCGAGUACUUUUGAUGAGUAUUCACGGUUGCUUUGCUACCUCUUUUCCCCUAUACCCGAUUGCUUUGAUCAGAUGACAGAGUCCAGGAGCCAGCUGAUCCUGCUGACGACUACGACUACCCCGACGGAGCCUACUACUACGUGGAGACCACCGAUGACCAGGUGUAGUUAGGAGGCUCCCAAGCAGGAGGCAUGCGCCUUUUCGGCCCAGAUGUUGUUGUUUUGCUAGCCUUUUAAAGGCAAACUUGUUUACUUAUAUCUGUACUCAGAUAUAGUCACUUUUGCUGACUCUUGUGUAUUUGAGUUUAUGUAUUCGAGCCCUCAAGGCGCUAGUCUUGUAAUAUAAAGCUUGUAUUAUUUUAUUUGUAUCUAGAGUUAUGUUGUGAUAUU